RNAcentral lists this transfer RNA (76 nucleotides) under Candidatus Berkelbacteria bacterium. Its description in RNAcentral is "tRNA-Val". It matches the Rfam family "tRNA". Rfam says of the family: Transfer RNA (tRNA) molecules are approximately 80 nucleotides in length. Their secondary structure includes four short double-helical elements and three loops (D, anti-codon, and T loops). The record is from RNAcentral. Lineage: Bacteria; Candidatus Berkelbacteria.
GGGCAGCUAGCUCAGUUGGCAGAGCGUCUCCUUGACGUGGAGAAGGUCACAGGUUCGAAUCCUGUGCUGCCCACCA